This 10305-nucleotide long non-coding RNA is filed under the name Ananas comosus (pineapple). Its description in RNAcentral is "long non-coding RNA (ACOM_LNC021057)". Lineage: Eukaryota; Viridiplantae; Streptophyta; Magnoliopsida; Poales; Bromeliaceae. The record is from RNAcentral.
GAUUGGGUUGUUGACCCUAGUUGUAGGGUAUCCUCACUUGGAGAGGAUAGAUCUAGCUCACAGUCUGCUUUUGGGGUGGUAUAGCCAUCCAUAUCCCCACAUGGAGGGGAUUGUCGUCGAGUACUCCGGAGUGUCGUGCGACUAGGACCACUUGGAGGUCCGGACCACAUGGAGGUCCACAGAAGGUCCCGGGCUUGGGUGCACUUGGAGCUCCCUCCCCACUUUGGGAUUGAAAGGUGAGUUAUUGGCGAACCCAAGGGCUUCGCUACAGAUUGGGUAAAAGAAUAGUAAACAAUGUCAUUGAACAUUAUUAUUCGAACAUGGAUCGAAUUCGUUAGCAUGAUAGUAAACCUUUACUAUAUGAUGCAUGCAUUCAUUACAUAUGAUUAUGGGCAUAGUAGCAUAGUUUUCCUACUAUCGCAUUACAGCUUUCAGAUAUCUAUCUAUCUAUCUACCUGUUGUUGCUUGUGCCCACUUGGACCUAGUGGAGAGAUCGACAGAGUCGGCGGCCGAGCCCACUGGAAACUUUGGAAGAUAGUUCUCACCCUACUCUAUUUCCAGUGGUAGGUACAGGACCGAGAGAGGACUGCGGCAAGGGCAUCGCGCCCGAUCAGUGAGACCGUGGUAGCAUAGUAGCUUUUCUUUUUGCAUUAGCACACCUAUGUAUUGAGAGAGAUUUAUUAUAGGUGAGGACUUGGAGAGCUAUGUAUUUUGGGUGAAUGACGUAAUCAUUUAAAGAAAUUGAUGUAAAUGAAAAGGAUAAACUAUUGUAAUAGUUAGUAAAGUACUCUCUUUAUUUCACUUAUUUUUACUUGUGGAUUACUUGCUCUUAGUUGUUGGCACUACUUGUGCCCCGUUGAAUGUGUAUGUUUAGAAUUUAGAUUCCUGGAAAAUUCUUGUACACAUUCUUAUUGUGAGCCUUGGGCGGACAGGGGAGGUACUGUCCGUUCGGCGGUCUGCUUGCCGCGCCCGAAUUGUGCCAAAUUGGUAGUGGUUUCGGGGCGGGGCGUGACAGCUGUUGUGGUAUCAGAGCAAUGAGAGUAAGUAAAGAGAGAAAGUCUAGGAUGACCUAGGAGACCCUAGGUUGGUAAGCCCUAGGGUUAUAGGUGCGUGAGCGGAACGUGAACCUAUAGCGAUGGCGGAAGUUGAUUCAAUUGGGUCGAAGUUGGUAACAUGUCUCUAGUUGUGAUUAGAGACGGAUUCAAGUGGUAUGAGUUCUUGUCUUGAGGUGGUUGUGUCGGCGGCCGACGACAUGAUACCAAGAGUCUAGAAUGAGUACACUUGUGUGCUUCCGUCCGAUUUUGUUGUUGACUCGUCAUGUGUCGUAAUUGCGACGAGGUAAUUGGUUAAGAUGACUGACCAAGUAAUUGCGUUUCAGGGACUAAUGUCUCCAAGACGCUACACACGUAGAAUUGCCCCAGCACCGACUCCUGAGGUGCCCGAGCAGGAGGAACCGAGUGUGAUCGAUCGGUUGCAAGCGCAAGUGACCGUGCUCACCAACGUGGUGCAGCGCCAGGAGACCAGAUUCGAGCGGCUCCAGGACUUAUUGGAGCGGCAGAUCGCGGCGGCGGCUGCGACGGCAAAUGAAGGCGGCGGCCCGCCCGCUCCCUCGACUCAUGUACCGGGAGCGGCAGAGGGUGAGGGCAUAGCGGCGGUUCCGGUGAUGGCACGCCCACCGCCAGUGAUCGUACCAUAGACGGCAUCGGGAUCGGCUACACCUGAUGUGUCGGCCGAAGACGUGGAGGGAGAGCGCGCAUUGGCGGCUCUUAUCAAGUUCAACAAGUUCCAUCUGCCAACCUUCGAGGGCCAGAAGGUGGAACCGGAGAUGGUCGAGUCUUGGAUUGACUCGAUGGAAACCCUCUUCUGUCACGCCCCGCGACUGCCCGCCUAUUUGGCCGAGUCGCGGCGCCGCCAACAGAUCGCCGAACGGACAGGGUUUGCCCUGUACUGCGGACAGAGUCUCCCCUGUACGUUCAAGGCAUAGCAAUCAAUACAAUGUAUAAAGUUCCAACCAGGAACACAUUUCAAUCAAGAUUGCAAUAAUGAAAGGUAUCAAACAACAUAAACACAUCCUAUAUUAUUACAUUCAUUCACAUUAGAUUCAUUUUACAUCACAAUUACAUAAUACAUUCUUUUUAGCUUCCAAAUACAAUCUAGCUUUAACAAUAUUAUUACAACUUGAUNGAUGAAAAUCCAUCCUUGAGCUUCAAUCUCCACCAAAACCCUCUCUUUUUGGGAGAGAUUUAGAGAGAGAAAGGGAGAUCUCUCUCUCCCUCCAUGUAUGCGUGUGUGUGUGUGGCGCAUGUGUGUGUGGGCUGCACGGUUGGGGGAGAAGAAGAAGCAUUUGCUUCUUCAUAAUACACCCCAAAACACUAUUCAUCCUGGGCAGCUUAAAAUCUGAUAACUUUCGCCGGAGCUUCCUGAAUGUCCGUUUGAGCUCAAAUUUGACAGUCAUGUUCGGUUUUACUUAACUUAACAAGCUGACGAUCGCUGGUUCAGUUUCGACCCUGUUUGGUCACUGAAAACUGUACCGAACUGCAAUCUUUAUCAGAUAGCUUUCGAAUUUUAUUUCUCACUCUAUGGGUGUCAGAAAAAUAUGAAACCUUAAAUCUAGCCUCAUAAAAAUAUUUCUGACAUCUUUGCCAAUUUUCAUAAUUUUCUGAGACUGUGCAUUUUCUGCUAAUUUAUCUGCCCCGUUUCCAACAGAAAAUUUUAAAUCUUCUGUUUUAAUUCCGAUUUCAGCACAAGUCACUUCUGACUUAUGUUUUACUUCUAUAAAUCCAAUAAAAAUAGUUUCCCACACUAAUUUUAUUUAUUUUUAUUUUUAUACCAAAAUCUGGUAUGUUACAUCUUCGAUGAUUUGCGUACCUUGGAGAGGGACAAGGUGUAUCUCGCCACCCAUUGCUUGGAAAAGGCGGCAAAGGUCUGGUGGAAGCGCGUCAAGCGGGAUCGGCUUCCCGGCCUUCCGCCCAUGUUGUGGGAGGAAUUUAAGCGGGAGAUGUUCGCCAACUAUUUCUCUGAUACAUUGAAGCGGAAGCUCAAGAAGAAAUUUCGCAAGUUGGAGCAAGGGGAACGCUCAGUGGCGGAGUAUGAGCAAGAAUUCUCCCAUAUUAUAGAUUGCGUCCCGGAUGUUGUAAAGGGUGACCGGGACCGGGCCGAGUGGUUCUUGCGAGGACUUCGGUCGGGAAUCUACAAGGCAGUGCAAAUACUCAAGCACAUGACCUUUGUGGAGGUCUUCGAUCGAGCGCUGUGGGCGUAGCAUGGAGAUGGCCACGUUCGGGAGUAGCGUGAGCUUUUGGCCGAGUCCAAGGAUAAGGGCAAGAAGCGCCAAGGCGGCGGCAGUUCGGGAGGACAAACACGUUACAAGAAACCCUCGAAGUAUCCGCGCACUCAACAGAAGAGCGAUGGAGCGCGGCGAUGCAUUGUAUGCGGCGGAGACCACCCAGUCUCGUGCUGUGAGCAAGGUUGUCACGCCCCGGGACCCAGCGGAAGCGCGCCGGGCACGUGCCCAGACCCGCCAUAAGUCUAAAACAUAUAAGGCGUCUAAAAACAGCAAUAAUAAAAGACAUCUAGGAGUAUCAGAGCAUAAUAAAUGUCUAAAUGCUACAACAAAGGAUAAGGGUAAAGCUAUAAAUCCACUAAAUAAAAAAAUAUAAAAUGAUACAAGAAAAUCCCAAAUACAAGUGCUAUAGGUAGAUACAUAGGUGGUCUCUACACAUGGAUACAAAACCUCUCACUCUCUCAACUACAAAAGAAAGAGUAAACCAUCUAGGCAAAGUACCGCUCCUCGCUAGCUAGCUAAGCGAUCCCCUUGCCGCGAUCCCGUGCCUCCGCCGGUGCCGAAGGCUCUGAAAAGGAAACCAUAAAACAGGGGCGUGAGAACUAUUAAAAAUAGUUUCCAGUGGGCAAUUACUGACUUCAGUGAAUGCACCACAAGGCCCAAAGCUACAAAAGAUGUCAGUGACAAUAACAGUAGAAAAGCGAAAGGUAAGUAAAAAUAAUNNNNNNNNNNNNNNNNNNNNNNNNNUAAUAUAACGCUACCUACAACAUGAAUCUCUACUUACGCGUAAUUAGCAUAAGUAUGAGCCAAUAUGCUGAAUAAAGUCCCCAACUAUCAUAAUGUUUCACAAUGCGAAAUAGUAAAGUUUCGCGUUGUUUUACUAUUCAAGUCAAAUGUCCAAAAAAAUAAUCUAAGUCAUCAUCUGUCCACAUGUCAUCAAAUGAUGACUUCAAGUCAAAUCUGAAGAGACCCACCGAGGCUGUCUAAACUGGCCCUGAAGAACCACACCCGUAGGCUGUCUGGCCGGUGCCAGAGCCAAAUAAAUGGCUCCCGUUGGUAGUAACAUCCCCACCCCUAGGAAUGAGCUGGCCAACGCAAUCCACUUCGCGCCCAAUCCCGACGGCGAUAUGAAUCCCGCGAAUGGCUAUCUCCGGAGUGCCGCUUUGUAGGGAUGCACCCCUCACCCAGCCAUGUGCGAAUGAGCGCAUCCAAUGCAAAGUAGGCAAACCAGAGUCUGUCGCAAGUACCUACGCACAUGUCAAUAACAUGAUUGUGUCAAAGUAAUCUCAACCGCCCCUAUCCCUAUGUCAUCAUGUCUCCUAACAUGGAAUGUUAGGCCUGAUAAUAGGUGGCCAUGCAAUAGUCCCUAUGUUGCAGUUUCCUAUAGUUACGAUAGUUCAAGUGGCCCUUGAAUGACCCCACCCUCUUGUUCGCUAUGCUCAACUUGAACUGGCAACUAUGUUCGCAAAAGUAUAGUCGUCCAAGUCAUUAAUUCUUCCAUAAGAGAGUAAUUUUUCACUUGCAAAAAUAAACACUUUCCCCCGUAUGCAUGCAUCUAGCUCAUAUAGCUCUACUAUAUAGUGAAGUUUUCAUAAUACACAUGGCAAUGCAUUUUUAAGUCUCAAAACCAUAUAAAUUCCCCAUUUAGCAAUAGAAAUGAACUUCAAAAACUAAUUUACAACAAGUAGAAGACCAAGGGGGGCUCCCAUUUCGCCCAUGUCCACGAAGCCAAUACCGCACCCAACAAACUCCUCUGCAACCUUGCAAGCUUCCCAACGAAGAUCCACCUAAGCCUUCCCCCUACACCCUAAAACGAUGUAGGACAACGGGUUAAAUGAACGCUACGAUAACCCUAACUCAAACCCCCCGAUAAGCAACAUCCAGGCAAGAUGGAGAAAAACUCACCUAGGGAAAAAUCUCCUCUAGUCUCCAAAAUGGAGUUAGGAGUACCUCAAAUCCAACAUAAAAUAAAGGCUUCCAAACCCAUCCAAGUAGGUCUCAAACCCCUCAAAAUCAAAAACCCCCAAUAAACCUAUCAAAAAAUCAAGGUUCAUCUAGUAACAACCAGGAAAACUGUAUACAAUGGGGAUACAGAGCCACCAAAACCUCAAGAAGAGCUCCACCAACUCAAAAACCAAGUAUGGGGGGUGAAUUUGAUCCUCCACAAAGCUCGCAACCGCAAGUUCAAAAGCCACCCAAAAGUGACGAAAUGGGAAGAAGAUGAGCCUCGCAAGGCCUCCCUAACACUCCUUCUCCUCUUCUCUUCCCUUCUUCCCUUCCUUCUCGCCUCUCUUAUUCUCUCCUAUAGAAUGCAAAGGGUGAGAGAAAUAGGAAAAGAGAUAGAAGAAAGGCUCUCUAUAGGCCCUCCUAAAGUAACAAAAUCCCCUGUAAGGCCUCAAAAAAAUUCAAAAUCACAUAAAGCCCGGUCUGCAGCUUUCGCCCAGCAGGACCGUCACUCCCCCGACCCCUGCGGACCGGUCUCUUCAGCCUGGCCGCCCCGGAUAAAUCCAACCGUUCGGGAACCGGUCCUCUCCCUACGCGGGAACCGGUCUCUCCACGCGCAGACGCGUCGGAUCCGGUCUCGACAGCCCAGGGACCGUCUCGCCGGCCUUGCGCAGGCAUUGUUCACUGGGGACCCCGUACUCCUAUCCAGGGACGCUCAGUCCUCGAGGUAAAUAACUCUCAGGACUCAGCCAAAAUCUCCGAGAGCUGAACUUUUAGGCCGGUAACAUCCAUUGACGACUCUCCACCAAGUGUGAAAGUUUCGAAUACAAAAACCGAACCUCGACACCUCGCAAUUUGUGAAGAGGUCCAGUGUGCUAGCAAAGGCCGAGGCAAGUGCUACAAGUGUGGGUUGCAGCGCCGGGCAUCUUCAUUCGAUGAUGCCCGGAGGAGCGGAGCCCCCAACCUGCCCCAUCGAUUGCACUGUGCCAGCGAUCCGCUCACCUUGGAUGGGAGUCCACCGACGCCACGCGUCUACGGACCGCGUGGGAUCGCCGCCGUCAAAACGAAGUGACGGCGAUCCGGGCACGAUGCGAGGGUAUUGCCGCUCAGUGUCCAAGCCGAGGAACCUGCGAGGCGGGAGCAUCGCCUUGUGGGCAGGUCAUGUUUUAAUACGGAGUACUCCUAGGCUUAAUUUGAUACAGAGCCAUGCAUUCUCAUAAGUUAGAUCAUUCUCACGCAUGCAUGACAUACUCAUAGAGGCGAGUGACAAGUGGCAGAGUUGAGGCCCUGGUCGACAUUAAUACCCUAGCUCCGGAGUGUGCGUCUUCCAAGUACAAGUGGGGCGGGUGACUGGAAAUGCCUAUUCGGACCGCUAGACACUCAACCCAGAAGCUGAGCUUAUGACGCAUUUCUGGCAAUGACGCCCUCGAGUACCAGCAACGAAUCGAUCUGCAACGGCAGAUGGUGAUCACACUUCCGGAGCCAAGACAAGCAGGAGUUCACAUAUCAGCUUGUUAAUAGCUCAUGCUCGUCGGCAUACAGUGUCGGCGAUGAGAGCAAGGAAGUUGGUAACAGCGGUUGGCACGAUACUCUUGUGGCAACUGUUGUGGAAGUGGAACAAGGAGCUCAACAUUACAGGAGUUCGUGGUGGCGGAGUUCCUCCAAAAAGAUGUGUUUCCCUGUGGAGUUGUUCAGGGAUAGCCCACCGAUCGAGAGAUCGAUUGUCAUAGACUUGGUCCCGUCUGCACCGACUCGAAGACUCGUAGAAUGGCGCCCCGCAGAACGAAAGAGUGAGAAUUCAAACCUGCAAGACCUCCCGACAACAAAUAACGGCCCGAAACUGUAUCACCGAGGGUGCCCGCGUGUUGUUUCUACGGAAGAAGGAUUGGAUCGUUCGACUCUGCGUGAAAAAUUUUUUUUAAACGAGAGUUGAGCAGAGUCACGAUCAAGAACAAGUGGCCCACUCUUCUUCUUCUUCCUCUUCUUCUCCCUCUCUUAUUCUCUCUCUAGAAUGCAAAGGGUGGAGAGAAAUGAGGGAAAGAGAGAGAAGAAAGGCUCUCUAUAGGCUCUAAAGUAACAAAAUCCUGAUAAGCCCCUCAAAAAUUCAAAAUCACAUCAGCCCGGUCUGGGCAGUUUUCGCCCAGAGGGACCGGUCUCCCCGACCUGGGACCGGUCUCUCAGCCUGCCCCCGAAAAUCCAACGUUCGGGAACCGGUCUCUCCCUGCGCGGGACCGGUCUCUCCCCGCGCAGACGCGCUCGGGGACCGGUCUCGACAGCCAGGGACCGGUUGCCUCGCCGGCUGCGCAGCAUUGUUCACUGGGGGACCGGUCUCUCCUAUCAGGGACCAGUCCUCGAGAGUAAAAACUCUCAGGACUCAGCCAAAACUCUCGAGAUCGAACUUUUAGGCCGGUAUACCAUUGACGACUCUCCACCAAGUGUGGAAAAGUUCGGAAUACAAAUCGAACACUCGAACCUCGCAAUUUGUGAAGGUCCAGUGUGCUACAAAGGCCGAGGCAAGUGCUACAAGUGUGGGCAGCCGGGGCACUUCAUUCGAGAUUGCCCGGGAGGAGGAGCCUCACCUGCCCCAUCGAUUGCAUCGGUGCCGGCGAUUCCGGCUCACUAUGGAGGAGUUCCACCGACGGCCGCGUCUACGGGACGCGUGAUGAUGCCGCGUCAACCUGAAGUGACGCGAUCGGCCCCGAGCGGAUGGGUAUUUGCCGCUCAGGUCCAAGCUGAGGAACCUGCGGAGGCGGAGGAGCAUCGCCUUGUGGCAGGUAUGGUUUUAAUUAACGGAGUUCACUCUAGGGCUUUAUUUGAUACAGGAGCCAUGCAUUCAUUCAUAAGUAGAUCAUUCGCACGCAUGCAUGACAUACUCAUAGAGGCGAGUGACAAGUGGCGAGUUGAGGGCCCUGGGUCGACAUUUAAUACCUACUCGGAGUGUGCGUCGUGUCAAGUACAAGUGGGUGACUGGAUAAUGCCUAUUCGGACGCUAGAACUCCAGAAGCUUGAGGCUUAUGACGUCAUUCUGGGCAUGGACUGGCUCUCGAAGUACCAUGCAACGAUCGACUGCAAGAGCAGGGUGAUCACAUUCCGUGAGCCAAGACAAGAGGAGUUCACAUAUCAGGCUUGUUAAAGCUCAUGCUUCGUCGCAACAGUGUCGGCGAUGAGAGCAAGGAAGUUGGUUAACAGCGGUUGCACGAUAUUUUUGGCAACUGUUGUGGAAGUGGAACAAGUAGCUCCAACAUUAGAGGAGUUAUCGGUGGUGCGGGAGUUCCUCGAUGUGUUUCCUGUGGAGUUGCAGGGGAUACCACCGGAUCGAGAGAUCGAGUUUGUCAUAGACUUGGUUCCCGGUACUGCACCGAUCUCGAAGACUCCGUACCGAAUGGCGCCGGCAGAACUGAAAGAGUUGAGGAAUCAACUGCAAGACCUCCUCGACAAGCAAUUUAUACGGCCAAGUGUAUCACCGUAGGGUGCCCCGGUGUUGUUUCUACGGAAGAAGGAUGGAUUGUUUCGACUCUGCGUGGAUUACCGAGAGUUGAGCAGAGUCACGAUCAAGAACAAGUGCCCACUACCCCGAAUCGAUGAUUUGUUCGAUCAGUUGCAAGGGUCGUGUGUGUACUCGAAGAUAGAUUUGCAGUCCGGCUACCACCAACUAAAGAUCAAGCCGGAGGAUGUGCAGAAAACUGCGUUUCGUACGCGGUAUGGACACUACGAAUUCACGGUCAUGCCAUUUGAACUCACAAAUGCUCCAGCGGCAUUUAUGGAUUUGAUGAACCAUGUCUUCAAGAAGUAUUUGGACCGAUUUGUCGUGGUCUUCAUAGACGACAUACUGGUCUAUUCUCGCAGUGACGAGGAACAUGCCGAGCAUUUAAGAAUAGUGCUUCAAGUCCUUCGGGAUGAGAAGCUAUAUGCUAAGCUGAAGAAGUGUGACUUCUGGCUCCGCGAGGACGCCUUCUUAGGGCAUGUGAUUUCCGCGGGUGGAGCUUCUGUAGACUCGAGGAAAGUUGAGGCAAUCAAGGAUUGGCCGUACCCGACGAAUGUCACGGAGUUCGAAGCUUCGUGGGCUUGGUGGGCUAUUAUAGGCGGUUUGUGGAAGGCUUUUCCAAAAUAGUGAUUCCACUUACCCGCCUGACUCAGAAAGACACCAAGUUUGUUUGGAGCGAAAAGUGCGACCUGAGUUUCAAAGAGUUGAAGCAAAGAUUGACUUCGACCCCGGUGCUUGCUCUGUCGGUGCAGGGCGAAGACUUCGUGAUCUACAGUGAUGCCUCUUAUCUUGGAUUGGGGUAUGUCUUGAUGCAAAACGGGAAGGUAAUUGCCUACGCAUCCCGUCAGCUGAAGAGCUAUGAAAAGAACUACCCCAUCCAUGAUUUGGAGCUAGCGGCGGUGAUUUUCGCCUUGAAGCUGUGGAGGCACUACUUAUAUGGUGCCCAUUGUGAGAUCUAUACCGACCACAAGAGCUUGAAGUACCUGUUCAUACAGAAGGAGCUCAAUAUGCGUCAGUUGCGGUGGUUGGAGCUAUUAAAGGAUUAUGAUGUGGAUAUCCUCUACCACCCCGGGAGAGCCAAUGUGGUCGCUGAUGCGCUGAGUAGGAAGUCAGCGGAGAACCUUGCCAUGUGGGUUACAAAUCAAUCACCCCUAUGGCUGGAGAUGGAGCGACUGGACCUCGAAGUAGUUACUCCCGAGACUCCAGCUCAGUUGAUGGCACUCGUUGUCCAACCGACCUUGUUGGAGAAGAUCAAAGAUUUGCAACCCGCAGACCAAGAACUCCAAAAGGUGCGGCGAAACAUCGAGGAAGGGCAUGGCGGCAAUUUCAAGCUAGCAUGAUAGUAAACCUUUACUAUAUGAUGUAUGCAUUCAUUACAUAUGAUUAUGGGCAUAGUAGCAUAGUUUUCCUACUAUCGCAUUACAGCUUUUAGAUAUCUAUCUAUCUAUCUACCUGUUGUUGCUUGUGCCCACUUGGACCUAGUGGGGAGAUCGGCAGAGUCGGCGGCCGAGCCCACUGGAAACUAUGGAAGAUAGUUCUCACCCCACUCUAUUUCCAGUGGUAGGUACAGGGCUGCCGAGAGAGGACCGCGGCAAGG